GCAAGGCACCGGCGCACGGCUCAGUAACACGCGGAUAAUCUAUCCUCUGGUGAGGGAUAACCUCGGGAAACUGAGGCUAAUACCUCAUAGACAUUCAAUUCUGGAAAGAUUGAAUGUUGAAAGCGCAAGUGCCAGAGGGUGAGUCUGCGGCCUAUCAGGUAGUAGGUGGUGUAAUGGACCACCUAGCCUAAGACGGGUACGGGCCUUGAGAGAGGGAGCCCGGAGAUGGGUUCUGAGACACGAACCCAGGCCCUACGGGGCGCAGCAGGCGCGAAACCUUCGCACUGCGCGAAAGCGCGACGAGGGGAGACCGAGUGCCUCUCCUUUUUGGGGAGGCUUUUCGCAAGCCUAAAAAGCUUGUGGAAUAAGGGGAGGGCAAGUCUGGUGUCAGCCGCCGCGGUAAUACCAGCUCCCCGAGUGGUCGGGACGUUUAUUGGGCCUAAAGCGCCCGUAGCCGGCCCGAUGUGUCUCCCGUCAAAUCCGCCGGCUCAACCGGCGGACCGCGGGGGAUACUAUCGGGCUAGGGGGCGGGAGAGGUCGGAGGUACUCCCGGGGUAGGGGUAAAAUCCUCUGAUCCCGGGAAGACCACCGGUGGCGAAGGCGUCCGGCCAGAACGCGCCCGACGGUGAGGGGCGAAAGCUGGGGGAGCGAACCGGAUUAGAUACCCGGGUAGUCCCAGC
This 680-nucleotide ribosomal RNA is filed under the name uncultured archaeon. Its description in RNAcentral is "bacterial SSU rRNA". It matches the Rfam family "Archaeal small subunit ribosomal RNA", at positions 70 to 751 of the family's 1478-position model. The record is from RNAcentral.